UACACAAAGUAUUGGUAUCAUGCUUACCAUGUUGCACAAAAGAAAAUUUUCCAUCAUGAUCAACUGAAGCACAGAGAGGUCCAGUAGCUCAUCCUGAACUAGAACUACUCAUCUCCUGACUCAGAGGUUUUUACCUAGGCCACCAAACUCCCUAAAGUGAAACACUGCAGAAGGAAUGCUCAGAAAGCAAAAUGUAGCAGCCUCUUCCUGAAUGGAACUGGUACUCGGUUUACUCUUCUAAGCUGGAACUGAAUCGCUAAAGACCAUGGAAAGAGAAUAAAUUUGUUUUUCC
This 292-nucleotide long non-coding RNA is filed under the name Anas platyrhynchos platyrhynchos (common mallard). RNAcentral's name for it is "lncRNA (ENSAPLG00000017820.1)". The record is from RNAcentral. Lineage: Eukaryota; Metazoa; Chordata; Aves; Anseriformes; Anatidae.